This 76-nucleotide transfer RNA is filed under the name Burkholderiales bacterium. RNAcentral's name for it is "tRNA-Lys". It matches the Rfam family "tRNA". Rfam says of the family: Transfer RNA (tRNA) molecules are approximately 80 nucleotides in length. Their secondary structure includes four short double-helical elements and three loops (D, anti-codon, and T loops). Lineage: Bacteria; Pseudomonadati; Pseudomonadota; Betaproteobacteria; Burkholderiales. RNAcentral also lists the same sequence under 2 other names. The record is from RNAcentral.
GGGCCGUUAGCUCAGCUGGUAGAGCAGCGGACUUUUAAUCCGUUGGUCGGCGGUUCGAAUCCGCCACGACCUACCA